Molecule: long non-coding RNA, 560 nt
Filed under: Homo sapiens (human)
Lineage: Eukaryota; Metazoa; Chordata; Mammalia; Primates; Hominidae
Description: HSALNT0282975
Source: RNAcentral
AAACAGGAGGAAGCCAGCUCUGUGCCUGGAGGGGACUCGCCGCCAUCUCAGGUCUCUUGGCUUUGCCAGGGCCCACCGGAGAAAACUGACGACCCGUUUCUGUAAUCCUUAUGGGAGACCAACCUUGUGCCUCCGGGAGAUCCACUCUCCCACCUGGAAACGCACGGGAAGCCAAGCCUCCAAAAAAGCGCUGCCUCCUCGCUCCGCGUUGGGAUUAUCCGGAAGGAACUCCCAACGGAGGUAGUACCACUCUACCCUCCGCACCUCCUCCUGCAUCAGCCGGCCUGAAGUCGCACCCUCCUCCUCCGGAGAAGUAGAGAAAUAAAUUUCUCCCACCCUAAACCAGUCUUUGAGUGAUUGCAGUAUGACUCCAUUUCCCUGGUGCAUUCAUAUAAUAGUUCACCUGGUGUGGAAGUUGUGCUUUUUAAGUCUUAUGAUGUAAUCAGCGCGAUUUCACUUCCUGAAUUUCGAUGAAUUCUAAGACAUGGGCAAGAUCGGGUUGUAAGACCUCUGAGAUUUAAGGCCAUGCCCUGGAUCAUGGUGAACUUACCAAAGCAAAC